CGGACUGUUUACCAGUCAGGCAGCAACGACUUUGUAAAGUGAAGCUACCUGCCUGGAGGCUAUGCGGCUUACCUACUCUGGCUUUAAAAAGUUUGAUUCACUUUCUUAAGAAGACACUUAAAAUGAAGACUGGCAACAUUCGAUAUUUUUAAUCAAUAAUACAUUUUGGCACAAAUAUGGUCAUACUUUCUUCGCUCGAAACUAAAUCUACGAAACACGUUUUGUACAUAUAGCACACGAUUUUUCGAUGCUAUGUCCAGACAAGGAUAGUAGACAACAAUACAGUAGGUAAAAAUAGACAAUACUAAAAAUUCACAAAGCUUUUUCCUCAUAUAAAAGAGUUUCAUCUUUCAUGUUCUUUAAAUCUCAAGUCUAUAUAUAGAAUUAGUACUAAGUUCUUAGCAUUUUAUUACCAAUGUCUCACUGCCUAACUCCAAUUUUAAACAGCAAAACUUCAGUCUCAUUUGCAUUCAGCUUUAAAUUAUGUUCAAUGGAAUAUUCAGAAUACUUGACAGAUCUCUAUUUAGGUGUGUAGCUGCUGCAUUUGGAUCUACAAGAUCAAAGUAGUGUAGAACCUGAGUAUCAUCAGCAUAUGAUUGAAUGUGACAGUAUGAGACACUGUCACAUAUAUCGAAGACAUAUACGAGGAACAAAAGUGGGCCUAUUAUUGAACCCUGCGGCACACCCGACACUAUUUCGCCAGCCUCACAUGAACUCUGAUACGUACGAACUCUCUGCCUUCUUCUUGUUAACAAGAUUUAAAGAAUUUACAAGAUAUUUCCUCAAACCCCAGAUAUUUCAGCUUUGCACAAAGAUGAUCAUGAUCCAACACUUCAAAUGCCUUGGAGUAAUCCAAGGAGUCGGAUAUGACAGCCUUAUCCUUAUCCAAUGUUGUUAUUAUGUUGUCAGUGGAUUUAACUUUGCAGUUACUGUGCUAUGCUCUCUACGAAACGCUGACUGAAGCACGCCAUUUCAUAAAUACUAGUUUGAUGUUUUCAGUUAUUAAAUAAUUCCACCAUUGACGUCGCAUCGUUGAACCUAUAAAAUUCUAGGGCUUGUUGUGGACAAUUCCUUGAAAUACAUAUUGCCGUCUUAUCUAAAAAAUUAAGUUCCUCCUAUUUUGUGUUGUGAUUAAUUUCCAAAGAACUGAACUUAUCCACCUCCCUAACAGUCUAUUAUGCCCUUAUUGAGUCACAUUUCCUGCCCUUCCCUUCUGGGGUACAUGUGGUGCGACUCAAUUUGAGCGACUUUUCAAACUACAAAAGAGAGCUGUUAGAUAUUUACUCGAACUAAACAGCAGAUCUCUUUCCAAAGGCUUCUUUAAAAUAUUAAAAAUUCUGACUCUUCCUUCCUUAUUCAUCUUUGAAUCCGUUUGCCUAAUUCGUAAGCACGCUUCUCCAAUUUCAGAAAGGUCGUUGCUCGGCUAUCCACUUAGGAACGCGGAGCACGACCUUCACCUACCUACUCUACGUUCAGAAUUAAUUAAGGGUUUAAUAUUUUACAAUGCAAAAAAUGCACAAUCACUUGCCAAUUGAAAUCAAAUCGACAUCAUCUUUUCCUGUAUACCGUAAGGGCAUAUUUACUGGAAUGUGCCUUCUACCUACAAUUAUUCAAAAUAUUUUGACCUUGCAAAAUCUUGUAAAUUCUGAUAAAAUCCAGCAUAUAACUUUGUCCUUUAUAUAAAAUGUUUUUCAAAAUAAAAUACCACCCAAUAGAAGAUAGAAGAGUUAAAAAAAGAAUAAAUUGGAAAACUCUGCAUUACUAUGGAUAUAUUCAAGUAACUUUCAGUCUUAUAUAAUAGCUGCUUCCCAUUUACAUCAAAACUCAGAUAAUUUUCACUUGAGACCUACUUUUUACCAGCAAUCUGCACAAGCUUAGGACCGUGUGCUUCAGUGAGUUUUGUGAACUUAGAUUUGAAAGUGAGGUUGAGGACAUCACGUUGUCAGAUGUUGUCAUCAAAAUAAACAAGUAUACAAUACUAAAUUAUUGCAAACAGUUAUUAUUUAAGUUUUGUCUUUUCUUUCGCUGUGAAAAACAGACGGUUGGAUCACCAAUGAUAAUGAUGAUUUUAUGGGGUUAUUGAGAAUUUCAACUCACACUACGCGUUCCUUUUUUCACUGACGUCAUUAUCUGAGUAUGAGUCUCAGUUCACUUGAAUGUAAAUGGAAAGCAGCUAGUGAUAAAUACUAACUGGUGCAUUGAUGAACUCGAGGUUUUUAGGUCUAACAUGGUAAUUUUGCCAACAAAAUACUGCCUUCUUGAUCAUGCUCGGUGUAAAUUCUUUGGCGUGAUCGAAAUCCAUACCGUAAAGAUCAAAUAUCGCUAUGACGCCAUAAAUUUGAGCCGGUAUGAUAUUUUCUAAAGAUGCGACAUCCAUCAUCAUAUUUCCAGUUUUGAAUACAUUGUCUUGGGUGUGAAUACAUGGGUCGUGUAUAGCUGUUCGUACAAUAACUACCAGUCUGAAAUAAAAUUAAAUUUACUAUCAAUGGAGAUGGUAGAUAUUAGAAGAUCCAAAAAAACUAACAUGGUCCGUUCUUUAUAUAUUGUAUUGGGGCUAUUACGUGAAUUGUAAAAAUAAAAUAAAAUAUAAACAAAUA
Molecule: long non-coding RNA, 2597 nt
Organism: Diorhabda carinulata
Lineage: Eukaryota; Metazoa; Arthropoda; Insecta; Coleoptera; Chrysomelidae
Exons: 2
Source: RefSeq, a predicted model, not a curated record